Molecule: long non-coding RNA, 440 nt
Filed under: Zea mays
Lineage: Eukaryota; Viridiplantae; Streptophyta; Magnoliopsida; Poales; Poaceae
Description: long non-coding RNA NONZMAT001663
Source: RNAcentral
CACAGGCCAAUCCAGUUGAAACAAUGCUUGGCUUUGGCCAUGUACUUGUUCGGCCAUGACGUCGACUAGCUACGGGGUUGUCGGCCUGCUGCUCGCCGCCCUCACGCCACCGCAGGCGGCUGGUAUGAUAUGGGGAGUCUGCGGCAACAGCAGCGGCGAGAACUACUACACGGCUAACAGCACCUUCGCCGGGAACCUCCGCCUGGUGGCCGCCGCCCUACCAAGCAACGUCUCCACGUCCCCUACCCUCUUCGCCAUAUCAACGCGGCCGGGACGCCACCCAACAUUGUCUAUGCCAUCGGGCAAUUAAUGCAUCGGCGACCUCAGCGCCGCCGCUGCCUGCCACGAGUGCAUGGCGAUUGGCGUUGGCGACCAUCAUAUCUUUGAGAAGGCGCAGGAGAUAUGCCCCCCAUGCAUACAACAAGCGUAUGGCCAUCUUC